GUCUCUCUCACACACACACAGAGGUACUCUCUCUCACACACACACACAGAGGUACUCUCUCUCACACACACACACAGAGGUACUCUCUCUCUCACACACACACAGAGGUACUCUCUCUCUCACACACACACAGAGGUACUCUCUCUCUCACACACACACAGAGGUACUCUCUCUCUCACACACACACAGAGGUACUCUCUCUCACACACACACACACACACAGAGGUACUCUCUCUCUCACACACACACACACAGAGGUACUCUCACGGACACACACAGAGGUACUCUCACAGUCGCGCGUGCACACAGAGACAGACGGACAGUCGCGCACAGACACAGACAGUCGCGCACAGACACAGACAGUCGCGCACAGACACAGACAGUCGCGCACAGACACAGACAGUCGCGCACAGACACAGACAGUCGCACAGACACACAGUCACUCGCACAGACACACACAGUCACUCGCACAGACACACACAGUCACUCGCAGACAGCACACACAGUCACUCGCACAGACACACAGUCACUCGCACAGACACACACAGUCACUCGCACAGACACACAGUCACUCGCACAGACACACACAGUCACUCGCACAGACACACAGUCACUCGCACAGACACACAGUCACUCGCACAGACACACACAGUCACUCGCACAGACACACACAGUCACUCGCACAGACACACACAGUCACUCGCACAGACACACACAGUCACUCGCACAGACACACACAGUCACUCGCACAGACACACACAGUCACUCGCACAGACACACACAGUCACUCUCACACAGUCACUCUCACAGACACACAGUCACUCUCACACAGUCACUCUCACAGACACACAGUCACUCUCACACACACAGUCACUCUCACAGACACAGACACACAGUCACACACACACACAGAGGUACUCUCACGGACACACACACACACAGUCACUCACAGACACAGACACACAGUCAGUCAGUCAGUCACUCUCUCUCACACAAACGGUCACUCACACACACACACACACACACACACACACACACACACACACACACACACACACACACACACACACACACACACACAGGUACUCUCACAGUCGCGCGUGCACACACACGCAGACAGUCGCGCGUGCACACAGAGACAGACGGACAGUCGCGCGCGCACGCACAGAGACAGACGGACAGUCGCGCGCGCGCACGCACAGAGACAGAAGGACAGGCGCGCGCGCACACAGGCGCGGACAGGCGCGCGGGCGCGGACAGUCGCGGACAGUCGCGGACAGUCGCGCGCGGACACGCAGUCACUCUCACAGACGCGCACACACACAGUCACUCUCACACUCUCACAGACACACACAGACACACACAGACACACACAGCCAGGCAGUCACUCUCACACAGACGGUCACUCUCACACACACAGAGGUACUCUCACAGUCGCGUGCGCACACACAGUCGCGUGUCGUGGGCACACAGAGACAGACGGACAGUCGCGAGCGUGCGCACACAGAGACAGGCACACACAGCCAGGCGCGUGCGCACGCGCACACACACACACACACACACACACACAGCCAGGCAUGCGCGCGCAGACACAGACACAGUCACAGACACAGGACAGUCAGACCCCCCUCCACUGUCACACUCUGUCUCUCUGUAGUGAUGAUCGAGCACCCCAGUGCCCCUCAAUUGAAGACGUUAACCCUAGAGCUAAGCAAAGAAUAGCCACGGACCCCACCCCCUUCCCAAAGACUUAGGACAGGAUAGGGCGGGCUUUAGGCAGGAAGAGGAUUCUGUGACUGACUGAAACAUUUGAUUACUUUUUCCUUUUUUUCCCCUUUUCACUUCUCUUGAGUGGAGUUAUUGAUUUGUAUGUAUCUAUAAACAAAAAGGAAAUUUGUACAAAAUAUACUUAUACCGCAAAACUCGUACAUAAAGAAGUAUACAAUUGUUUUGCAAUUUUGCUCUAAUUCAGGGGAGAGCAAAAUAAAAAGCAACCUGAAGUUGGAGGAAAAUACCUCCGGGUAUUGUAAUGGAAUAUCUCUACUGUAGCCCUGUUCCCCAGAGGACAUUAAAUCCUGCUGCACAAGUGAUGUCACGUCCUGUGGAAGGGCGGGUAGUGAUGUCUCUGUUGGGAUAUCCAACAAAGUAGUUGACAGGUGAAUAUCACCUGAAUUCUUCAACACCAGAACAGUCAAACUCAAACAAACCUAUAUUUGGAAAUGCUCAGUGCUAUCUGGGAUCCUUGGGACGUGCCUACCCUUAACCCUAAUCUUAAACAUAACCCUUACCUAUUUUAAAUGUCUACUUCAAUGGGGGGGUAUUGACGUCCCAAGGAUUCCGGCUUGCACAGACCAAUUGCCAAAUCUGGGAUUUUUUGGGGGUUUCUCUUUUUAAAUUCUCCCAUUCUUUUAAAAAUGUACUUUAUGUUGAAAUUGAAAAAUAUCUACUUGGCUUGUUCUGGUCCAGGCUGUGGAGCUUCCAGAUUUGCCAUUUUUACUUUUAUGAUUUCGUUUUAUGCACACGUCUGAGAGGUAGUUUUUUUUCUCUCUUCCUGCGGAAAGAGACAGAUACUGAAGACGGGAGUGAGGAUAGAACACGACCUCUGACCUUUGCAGAACUUAACUUUUUUUGUGGUUUUUAUUUUAUUUUGUCACAUCAACAACCUGAAUAAUUGUACAAAAUGCAAUGUGUAUCUCUUAAACAAGUCUCUUGAGAAUAUACAAAUAUAUAUUUCCAUAAUGCCUGUACAAAGCUGCUGCAGCUGACAAGUCAUUGUUGGAACUGGACUCACUCUGCAGAACGAUAACCUACAUACUAUCAAAGACGGACGGAUGGGGUGUUCAGUUUUAAAAAAUGUGUUUUGUCUUUAUUUUUAAACAUUCAUAUGUAUUAUGAUGACAUGCUGAUGAACCUGCUUGUCUAUCUGCAGGGACUAACUGUCAUUUUACCAUCCCAGAGCCGUCCCAGUUGGUCUCCAGGACCUAGGUCUCUGGUCUGGACUUGUUUCCCUCUGUUUAUGACCUGUUCAAACAGUGCACAGCAAAAGCAGGGAAGUUGUUAUUUUCAAUGGAAGCCUGGCAGCAGUAGCAAUGAGGCAUUUCUAGGUGAAGUCUCACCCACGAAAAGUAGGUCCGGUCAUCUGGUCACUACUGUAGAUGGUCAAAUAAGUUGCUACGCUGCCACCACAAGGCAUAAUACUCUUUUGCAGCUGUGUGUUUGAAUGGGCCAUUAGGCUGCUAACUACUGAUAGACAGUGGG
Oncorhynchus tshawytscha (Chinook salmon) is the source of this 3258-nucleotide long non-coding RNA. The record is from Ensembl. Lineage: Eukaryota; Metazoa; Chordata; Actinopteri; Salmoniformes; Salmonidae.